This 486-nucleotide ribosomal RNA is filed under the name uncultured bacterium. Its description in RNAcentral is "bacterial SSU rRNA". It matches the Rfam family "Bacterial small subunit ribosomal RNA", at positions 28 to 511 of the family's 1533-position model. The record is from RNAcentral.
GAUGAACGCUAGCGGGAGGCCUAACACAUGCAAGCUGAGCGGUAGAGUUUCUUCGGAGACUUGAGAGCGGCGUACGGGUGCGGAACACGUGUGCAACCUGCCUUUAUCAGGGGGAUAGCCUUUCGAAAGGAAGAUUAAUACCCCAUAAUAUAUAGAGUGGCAUCACUUUAUAUUGAAAACUGAGGUGGAUAAAGAUGGGCACGCGCAAGAUUAGAUAGUUGGUGAGGUAACGGCUCACCAAGUCGAUGAUCUUUAGGGGGCCUGAGAGGGUGAUCCCCCACACUGGUACUGAGACACGGGACCAGACUCCUACGGGGAGGCAGCAGUGAGGAAUAUUGGACAAUGGGUUAGCGCCUGAUCCAGCCAUCCCGCGUGAAGGACGACGGCCCUAUGGGUUGUAAAACUUCUUUUGUACAGGGAUAAACCUAUUUACGUGUAAAUAGCUGAAGGUACUGUACGAAUAAGCACCGGCUAACUCCGUGCCAG